CUUGCUUCAGAUGCCAAUUUCCAGAGAGAUUUAGGUGAGGGCCUUUACAUUAUGUGCUGCAUUCCCACAUACACGUUCCACAUGAAGAAGGUAUAAAUGCUCCCUGCAACCAUGAUUACACUCCUAUUACAGUGUUACACCCAUGCCUUACUUGCCCUCAGUGACAUCAUCUUUCAUCUGAGUUUCAAAUGUAAUAACACUUGUGUGAUCCAACCAGCCAGCACAGUUUAGCAACUUUUAACACUUAGCUAAGGAAUUUUAAAGCGAGACCUACCAAACUACAAACUUGUUGCAGCUCAGCAGAACAAGCCUCUGCCUACAUAAUACUAAUGUGUCUGCUGCUACUGCUUCUAGGGCCCCUAAGUAUCAUGAGGUCAUAUAAAGCCUUUUAAAUUCAGGGUAUGGGUGAGCAUCUAUAGGGAGCAGAACAAAUAGGGCAGGGCAAGAGAUGACUGUCCCCAGACUCAGCUUCCUGGAAUGUUGUACACUCCUCCCUGUACCCUUGGUUAAGGGUUGGGGCACCUGUUGUAUCCUCCCUUCUUCAUUGCCUUGGCAUGUAAUUUGGCAAUUGAAAAAUCUAUAGUCUGAAACCUGGAUCUAGUUAGGAGGCACUGGGAAGGAAAUCCUUCCUGGGAAAGCAAAAAAAAAAAAAGUCAGCAAAAAUGCAGGGGGCCAAAACCUUUCUGAGAACAGCUAAUGAUGAAAAACAUACGGACUUUGUUCUUUACUCUGUGUGUGUUUAUUAGCUUAAUGCAUUUUUUACUUUUUUCACACACAAUUAAAAGGUCCACAGUCAAAUAUCAAAGAAUAUAAUUAUUUAUAUCUCAGAGUAAUUUGGUCUUCUAAAACUAAUCCAAGCCACUUGAAAAAUUGCGUUCUGGACCACCCUGGCAUGGUUUGAAUGUUGUCAUCAACGGGAGACUGGGGACACCUCAGGCCCUUAGACAAACUGUUCCUGAACAGUGAGCAAAAUUAACAGAAGCUGCAGCAGCUAUGACUCCCUGAAGAAAUUGUCUCCUCCUGAAUUGAGAGUGCCUAGCUUUGACCUGCAUUUAGUAGUGAAGUCCACCAAGGAAAGGGGACACCACGCUGUCUUUUCAUAGCAUCCUCUCCAUCAGCACAGAAUCCUGGCUGCUCCGAGUGGUGAGCAGAUCACAUGGAGUGAUGCUGAGCAGCUCACUCUUCCUCCCCUCAACACUGCAGCACUUCUGUGUAUUUUCUGCCCUCCACACUUUCCUGCUUGUGUGGCAGUGCUGUCUUUUACUUCUGGUACGCAGGAGGGAGCAAUGUGAUGAAUCUAAAUGUCACUUCCCACUCCAGCCAGAAACGUGUUUGGAGCCGAUGGAGGGACAAAGCGUCCUUGGACGCAUUGUGCAUGCACAGCUGGUCUGCAGUCUGCUCUCUUCCUGGCUGUUGACACCUCAGACCCUGAUGUGACACCCUUCCAGUUAACAAGACUAGCACAGAAGGCCAGCACUGAGCAGCUAGGAGCAGGGAUCAGCAGACAUCCAGCUGUAUAGAGGUGCUCGAUGUCCAGAAUUGAACAUGAAGCAAGCACUGGAGACAGAAAAUAAAGGGUGAAUGGGAAGCGAACACUGGAAACAGUAGGAUAGAAAAUAAAAGGUGUUCAGUUCAUUGCUGAAACAUUCCUGUGCAAAUUUGUCACUGAUACAAUACUCUUAGAGUCAGACGUAGCCAGG
Molecule: long non-coding RNA, 1700 nt
Organism: Parus major (Great Tit)
Lineage: Eukaryota; Metazoa; Chordata; Aves; Passeriformes; Paridae
Exons: 3
Source: RefSeq, a predicted model, not a curated record